Molecule: ribosomal RNA, 583 nt
Filed under: uncultured bacterium
Lineage: Bacteria
Description: bacterial SSU rRNA
Rfam family: Bacterial small subunit ribosomal RNA
Source: RNAcentral
ACGGGUGAGUAACACGUGGGCAACCUGCCCUUGAGACUGGGAUAACUUCGGGAAACCGGAGCUAAUACCGGAUAAUACAAGGAACCUCCUGGUUCCUUGUUGAAAGAUGGUUUCGGCUAUCACUUAAGGAUGGGCCCGCGGCGCAUUAGCUAGUUGGUGAGGUAACGGCUCACCAAGGCGACGAUGCGUAGCCGACCUGAGAGGGUGAUCGGCCACACUGGGACUGAGACACGGCCCAGACUCCUACGGGAGGCAGCAGUAGGGAGUCUUCCACAAUGGACGAAAGUCUGAUGGAGCAACGCCGCGUGAGUGAUGAAGGCCUUCGGGUCGUAAAGCUCUGUUGUUAGGGAAGAACAAGUGCGAGAGUAACUGCUCGCACCUUGACGGUACCUAACCAGAAAGCCACGGCUAACUACGUGCCAGCAGCCGCGGUAAUACGUAGGUGGCAAGCGUUAUCCGGAAUUAUUGGGCGUAAAGCGCGCGCAGGUGGUUUCUUAAGUCUGAUGUGAAAGCCCACGGCUCAACCGUGGAGGGUCAUUGGAAACUGGGGAACUUGAGUGCAGAGGAGGAAAGUGGAAUUCCA